RNAcentral lists this ribosomal RNA (119 nucleotides) under Lepisosteus oculatus (spotted gar). Lineage: Eukaryota; Metazoa; Chordata; Actinopteri; Semionotiformes; Lepisosteidae. The record is from RNAcentral.
GCCAGCAGCCAUAUCACUCUGCAGCGCACAACUGGCAACCCAAUGGAACUAAGCAGGAGUGAGCCUGGUCAGUACCUGGAUGGGGGACCUCCUGGGAAAACCUAAGGUUGCUGCUGGAU